GCACCUCGGGCCGGGGGCUGCUUGGCAAGUGGGGGGCCAAUCAUGCGGCCGACCCCAUGGUAAUCCGUCUGAAGCCCGGAAAGGAGCGGCGCAAGGACGGCAGCCGCCUCUGCCAGAUGGUCGCGAUCAAGCGUAGCGACGGUGGC
RNAcentral lists this non-coding RNA (146 nucleotides) under uncultured eukaryote. The record is from RNAcentral.